GGCCCCGGAACGAAACGGCCGGUAAUUAACUACCGCAUACCGUCCCGGUUAAGGGGAAAGGCGGGGGAUCUUCGGACCUCGCGCUAUUGGAGCGGCCGAUGUCGGAUUAGCUAGUAGGUGAGGUAAAGGCUCACCUAGGCGACGAUCCGUAGCUGGUCUGAGAGGAUGAUCAGCCACACUGGGACUGAGACACGGCCCAGACUCCUACGGGAGGCAGCAGUGGGGAAUUUUUGGACAAUGGGCGCAAGCCUGAUCCAGCCAUGCCGCGUGAGUGAAGAAGGCCUUCGGGUUGUAAAGCUCUUUCAGGUGGAAAGAAAUAGCGCUGUUUAAUAGAUGGCGUUGAUGACGGUACCACCAGAAGAAGCACCGGCUAACUACGUG
RNAcentral lists this ribosomal RNA (381 nucleotides) under uncultured bacterium. RNAcentral's name for it is "bacterial SSU rRNA". It matches the Rfam family "Bacterial small subunit ribosomal RNA", at positions 138 to 507 of the family's 1533-position model. The record is from RNAcentral.